RNAcentral lists this transfer RNA (76 nucleotides) under Caudoviricetes sp. Its description in RNAcentral is "tRNA-Arg". It matches the Rfam family "tRNA". From Rfam's summary of the family: Transfer RNA (tRNA) molecules are approximately 80 nucleotides in length. Their secondary structure includes four short double-helical elements and three loops (D, anti-codon, and T loops). Further hydrogen bonds mediate the characteristic L-shaped molecular structure. tRNAs have two regions of fundamental functional importance: the anti-codon, which is responsible for specific mRNA codon recognition, and the 3' end, to which the tRNAs corresponding amino acid is attached (by aminoacyl-tRNA synthetases). tRNAs cope with the degeneracy of the genetic code in two manners: having more than one tRNA (with a specific anti-codon) for a particular amino acid; and 'wobble' base-pairing, i.e. permitting non-standard base-pairing at the 3rd anti-codon position. The record is from RNAcentral. Lineage: Duplodnaviria; Heunggongvirae; Uroviricota; Caudoviricetes.
GCGGCAUUAGCUCAGUUGGAACUAGAGCAUCUGACUACGAAUCAGAAGGUCGAAGGUUCGAAUCCUUCAUGCCGCA